This 425-nucleotide long non-coding RNA is filed under the name Homo sapiens (human). RNAcentral describes it as "HSALNT0239018". The record is from RNAcentral. Lineage: Eukaryota; Metazoa; Chordata; Mammalia; Primates; Hominidae.
UUAUCAACCGAGUCAAUGAGGUCGGGGUCGAUGUCAACCGUGCCAUUGCCCACCCUUACAGCCAGGCCUUGAUCCAGUAUGUUUGUGGCCUGGGACCUCGGAAAGGGACCCACCUCCUGAAGAUCCUGAAGCAGAACAACACCCGGCUCGAGAGCCGGACCCAGCUGGUCACCAUGUGCCACAUGGGUCCCAAAGUCUUCAUGAAUUGUGCUGGCUUCCUCAAGAUCGACACGGCCUCCCUGGGGGACAGAAGUUAUCAACUCAGUCUUUGGAGGAUCUUUUCCACGGGCACAUAGCUCCUCAUUCAGUAAUGGAAAUCAGUGGGGAAAUAGGCUUCAAGUUCUAAAACUUCAUUUUCCACUCAGCUUUGCUGUAACACUCCACGAAUAACAUAGGUCCAUGUGAGUGCACGGGCAAGACCAGCC